Molecule: transfer RNA, 74 nt
Filed under: Ewingella americana
Lineage: Bacteria; Pseudomonadati; Pseudomonadota; Gammaproteobacteria; Enterobacterales; Yersiniaceae
Description: tRNA-Trp
Rfam family: tRNA
About the family: Transfer RNA (tRNA) molecules are approximately 80 nucleotides in length. Their secondary structure includes four short double-helical elements and three loops (D, anti-codon, and T loops).
Source: RNAcentral
AUGGGAUUAGUUUAGUGGCAAAACAGAGGCCUCCAAACCCUCCUUCGGUGGUUCGAUUCCAUCAUCCCGUGCCA